GAACGCUGGCGGCGUGCUUAACACAUGCAAGUCGAACGGUGAAGCGCCUUCCUUUUUGGUGGGUGUGGAUGAGUGGCGAACGGGUGAGUAACACGUGAGUAACCUGCCCCCUUCUUCUGGAUAACCGCAUGAAAGUGUGGCUAAUACGGGAUAUUCUGGGUCUGUCGCAUGAUGGGUCUGGGAAAGAUAUUGUUUCGGUGGGGGAUGGGCUCGCGGCCUAUCAGCUUGUUGGUGGGGUGAUGGCCUACCAAGGCGGUGACGGGUAGCCGGCCUGAGAGGGUGGACGGUCACACUGGGACUGAGACACGGCCCAGACUCCUACGGGAGGCAGCAGUGGGGAAUAUUGCACAAUGGGCGCAAGCCUGAUGCAGCGACGCCGCGUGAGGGAUGGAGGCCUUCGGGUUGUGAACCUCUUUCGCCAGUGAAGCAGGCCUGCCUCGUUUGUGGGUGGGUUGACGGUAGCUGGAUAAGAAGCGCCGGCUAACUACGUG
This 491-nucleotide ribosomal RNA is filed under the name uncultured bacterium. RNAcentral's name for it is "partial 16S ribosomal RNA". It matches the Rfam family "Bacterial small subunit ribosomal RNA", at positions 31 to 507 of the family's 1533-position model. The record is from RNAcentral.